This is an RNA transcript of Amphiprion ocellaris (clown anemonefish), 4671 nucleotides long. It is a transcript of the gene named solute carrier family 37 member 1, with no coding region annotated. Lineage: Eukaryota; Metazoa; Chordata; Actinopteri; Pomacentridae. The record is from RefSeq and is a predicted model, not a curated record. The transcript is spliced from 22 exons.
CAGCUGCGUGCGUGUGUGCGUGCGUGCGUGCGCACGCACGCGAGUUCGCUGCGCGUGUGGCUCUGAGGUGACAGUCCCGAGCCUUCACACAAGGAAGUGGAGGAUAUGUCGUAGAACUGAAGCCACAGACGAACAGAAAACCGUCAACUUGAUCGUACAAGACUCCUGACUUUUCUAUCCAGCCACGCUGCUUCGUAUGACAGCUAUCUUCCAUUGAUGCUGAUUUCACAGCAGCUUCCUCAGAGAAGGAGAUGAGCUGAGAGAGCCCCACCAUGUCUGCACGUAUCCCAGCGUCCUCCUCGGCAUGAGGACAUUUGUAAUGCUGCACUCACAUCAGCUGCCUGUUGCUGUGAUAAUCCAUUAUCUGCAUCCAAACAUGGCCUCAGUUCCUCCAGGCGUCCUCCUACUGGUGUCCUUCAACAGGGACCAAUGGUACAAAGCUCUCACCUUCAUCCUCACCUUCCUGCUCUACACCAGUUUCCAUCUCUCCAGGAAACCUAUUAGCAUUGUUAAGAGUGAGCUUCAUAAGAACUGCUCAUCCUUCAGUGAACUAGCCACCAUUGCCUCCAGCAACAGCCGUAACCAGCAGCCCUCCCUGCCAUCUCUCCAUACAGACAUAGACUGCAGCUGGAAGCCUUUUGAUAAAAGCAACUACAAACAGUUGCUGGGAGCUAUGGACUACUCCUUUCUGUGUGCCUAUGCCGUGGGAAUGUACCUCAGUGGCAUCAUUGGGGAGCGCCUGCCCAUUCGGCUGUACCUAACAGUAGGCAUGCUGACCAGUGGACUUUUUACCUGUCUGUUUGGACUGGGUUACUUCUACAACAUCCACAGUUUGGGCUUCUAUAUAUUUGUCCAGGUAGCCAAUGGCUUAGUCCAGACUACUGGCUGGCCCAGUGUAGUGACCUGCAUUGGCAACUGGUUUGGAAAGGGAAGGCGUGGACUCAUCAUGGGGCUUUGGAACUCCCAUACCUCAGUUGGAAACAUCUUGGGCUCUCUGAUCGCAGGCUACUGGGUCUCCUCCAACUGGGGCCUGUCCUUCAUUGUACCGGGGCUCAUUAUUGCAGUCAUGGGUGUCAUCUGCUUUCUCUUCCUCAUUGAGCAUCCUAAUGACCUGAAAAGUAUGUAUGCUCAAAAUUCGUCUCCAGGCAAGAGUGUUUCAACCAAAAGUUGGAAAGGAGUAAAUGGACACACUGAGGUGUAUCUGCAGUACAAGGAAAACAAUAGCCAGGCCAACUACUAUUGCAAGGAUAGUGUACUAAACAGAAAGAGUAACGAUACACAGCUGCUAUUGCCCAGGGACAGUGUGUGUGUCCCUGUGCAGCCUGUUGUUGUGGUGAAGAGUGAAUCAGAACCAUCUGCUAUCAGCUUUAUGGGAGCCCUACGAAUACCAGGAGUGAUUGAGUUCUCUCUGUGCCUGCUGUUUGCUAAGCUGGUCAGUUACACUUUCCUCUUCUGGUUGCCACUCUACAUUACCAAAGCAGCUCACCUGGACGCCAAGAAAGCUGGAGAUCUCUCAACCCUCUUUGAUGUGGGAGGAAUUGUGGGAGGGAUCUUGGCAGGAGUGAUCUCCGAUAAACUGGGAAAGAGAGCCACCACCUGUGCAGUAAUGUUACUGCUGGCUGCUCCUACACUGUACGGCUUUUCCAUGAUCAGUGAGUUCGGUCUAGGGCCAACUAUUGGGAUGCUGUUAGUGUGUGGAGGCCUUGUGAAUGGGCCAUAUGCCCUUAUCACAACUGCAGUGUCUGCUGAUUUGGGGACCCACAAGAGCCUGAAAGGCAAUGCCAGAGCAUUAUCUACUGUCACUGCUAUCAUUGAUGGCACAGGAUCUGUAGAAAAACGUCCCCUUUUACGCGUCAAGGAGGAGCAGACUGACAGAACCACAGAAGAAAAUAAAGUUAUACUUUCCACCACUAUGAUAUAUGAUGAGCAGCACUGGGCCCCCUGCUGGCUGGACUGUUAUCUGCUGGCGGCUGGGAUCAGGUCUUCUACAUGCUGAUGACUGCUGACUUCCUUGCUCUGUUGCUUUUGCUACGGCUCGUGACAAAGGAGGUGUCCUCAUCUAAGUCCCGUCCGAUCUCUGCUGUAGAGUUGAAGGAGCACUGAGCACUUUGACUGCACUGCCUCUGUACUCACGUGCGCACACACACUAAGUGCAUUGAAACCACUUGUCUGCAUCGGAUAUUGACCGUGGCUAUGUCAAGAACUGGACUGGGCAUAUUAAUGCUCACAUAGGUGCAUAAUAAACCAACAUGUGUAUCUAUGAGCAUGUAGACACACUGUUGAGGAGGAACUGGGGUUUAGGCUAGUAGACCAAACAGAACAGCAGCAAAUUUCAGACUGGGUUGUACUCUGAACUUACUGUACUUGUUCUGUGCAAAAGAAUGCAUAUGUUGAUAUGAUAUGAUUAUCUUUUUGUCUCCUUUUCAAUUCUUGAACUCAGUCUGAAUAUGAACCAACUGUCUGUUUAAUCUACAGAUAUAUAAAACUGGCCUUGCUUUUGAUAUUAGUAUUGGGACUGUAUAUACUAGCAGCAAUGUUUAAGUAGCAGUGUUUGAAAUAGCAACUUCCACAAAUGUAUUCUUAUGGAUUGUUCUCUAACUAUGGGUACCUUCUGUUGUUAUCCUUACAAACUCAUCAGACUUUGACGAGACAUCUAUCACUUUACCAGUCAAGUUUACAUCUAAACUUAACCAUCUUAACAGGGACCAUUCAUAAUUUUAUAUGUGGGCCCAGCCUUUCAGUUAGACUAUGGUGGAAUCUACCCUGGAUUCAGACCUGCAAACCACUGUGGUUUUGUGGUCUUUGACACCUUGAAAAACAGCCAACAUCGGCACUCAUGGGACUGAUUAUGAAUAUGGUCUUCAGAAUUGGGGAGCCUUGCCAGAUCCAGUAAAAUUUGCCACAAGCAUGCAGAUUUUUGCAAUUCAAAAAUCUUUAGUUGUACAAAAACAUGAACUUUUUCUGACAACUGCUAUUGAAGCAUGCAUGUAACCAAACAGAGACUUAAGGUGGAUAUAUCUAACAGUCACUAAUGACUUAUUAAAGCAGACAACUAUAUUUGGUUAGAAACAAAUCCAUUUUUGAUGUUCAUGCACUACAUGUUAGCUAGCAUGAGACCCUGCAGUAGCCAAACUAAUAAGGCUACUAUAAUAGUUUUCUCCUCUUUAAUUCAGUGACAAAAAUACAUGACAACAUAUAUACUUUAGUUUUAUUGUACUGCAUAUUCUACUCCAUCCAAAUAUUUGCUUUCCAUUCAAAAGCACUUCUACCAUUGUGGUACUCCAAAGGGCCACCAAAACUGGCAGCUCUGCUGUCAAUGAACAUUGGUAUCAUGUUUGUGCCCUGCACUGCCAUUUGUGUAUGAAUAGUCUGGUGUAUUUUAAAGAUAAUGUAUAUUUGAUUUAUUAUCAUACAGUUAUUUGAUGUCAUGCAAUACCGCCUAUCCAAGCAUGGCAAACCACAUGAAGCUUAUAACCUGAAAGUAGUUCCUAAUGAUAUAGAACCACUAGGACGAUGUUUCUAUUGGUACUUGUUGAAAUUUUGAAAUCCCACCCGGACAAAUAUAAAUAAGUCUAUCUACAUGGAUAAAUUUCAUUAGAGGGAAGAGACAAAACACUGUAAUUAUGUGGACUGACCCUUUAAGCGGUUGGGAAUGUUUAUAUCUUCCCACCUUUAAGCAGGUGCUUUUAAACUUCCAGUACACUGUGUGUUUCCAUAUGACAGUCUCCCCACUGUGUCUCUGUUUUUACUAUUUAAAUUUAUACUGACCACUAUAACUGUCCUAUGUUCUGUGGAAAUUGCUGUUUCAGUGUCACCUUUGCCUUACCAAAGAGACUAUGGGAUUGUAGUGUAAUUUAAAUAACAGAAUACAUAUUUUGCAAGUGAUUUAACUUAUUUCUAUUAGUUCUAUGUUGGUUGAUUAGUUUUUUCCCCUCAAUUUUGUUAUUAAAUAAAGUCACCAAAGCUUUAUUCUUAUAUAAUAUUUCUGGGUAAUAAUGUGUUUACGUGUGUGGGAGUGGGGGGUUGAGAUAUUUUGAAUGUAAAGUUGGCAAACCUUAUGGUUAUAUUUUACAGUGCAAUGUGGACAAAUAAAGUUGUUUAACCCUUUGAUGCGCAGUGUGUGUCAGGAGAUACCCAUUUUCCAUUGGAUUUGGCUUUGACCUAUGUUGCACAUCAAAGGGUUAAAGCAGUUAGAAUAGGAUUAUCACUGCAUUUAACUCUUCUUCCAAUUUCUGAUCUGGUAAACAUAAAAAGUCCCUUCAAUCAAAGUUAUGAAAUGAAGACAACAUGCAACGCUAAUAUUUAGUGAUUUUUUUUUCAGGUUUAAUAUUUAGUAAUGUAUUAUGUAAAUUUUUUGUCUAUCAUCAAAAUACAGAAAUCUGUUAAUGUUACAUGAAUGUAAAUCUUCAGUUCUGGGAUCGUUUCCUUUUAAUGGUAGAAGUAUUGAAACCAUAUCCUACUAUCUUUACAACAGGACCACAUUUUGUGUAUAUUUAUUAUGUGUCAGUGGUAGGCCUAGUACUUGAAACACUGUGUGCCUUGUUUGUUGUUUGUCUUCUUGCUGGGUUAUGGUUUUGUUGUAUUAAAAUAAAUUAUUGCAGAUUUCUAAAAUUUGGGGUUGAUAAACUUCAAAAGCAUUCUCUGGAAAAAAUAAACUAUUUGUUUUCUUCA